This 252-nucleotide ribosomal RNA is filed under the name uncultured bacterium. RNAcentral's name for it is "partial 16S ribosomal RNA". It matches the Rfam family "Bacterial small subunit ribosomal RNA", at positions 524 to 776 of the family's 1533-position model. The record is from RNAcentral.
UACGGAGGAUGCGAGCGUUAUCCGGAUUUAUUGGGUUUAAAGGGUGCGCAGGCGGAUUUUUAAGUCAGCGGUCAAAUCGUGGGGCUCGACCCCAUCCAGCCGUUGAAACUGGGGAUCUAGAGUGUGCGAGAGGUAUGCGGAAUGCGUGGUGUAGCGGUGAAAUGCAUAGAUAUCACGCAGAACCCCGAUUGCGAAGGCAGCAUACCGGUGCACAACUGACGCUCAGGCACGAAAGCGUGGGUAACGAACAGG